CGCAACCCUUGCCUUUAGUUGCCAGCAGUUCGGCUGGGCACUCUAAAGGGACUGCCGGUGUUAAACCGGAGGAAGUGGGGAUGACGUCAAGUCCUCAUGGCCUUUAUGACCAGGGCUACACACGUACUACAAUGGCCGAUACAAAGGGCAGCGACACUGCGAGGUGAAGCCAAUCCCGUAAAAUCGGUCUCAGUCCGGAUUGGAGUCUGCAACUCGACUCCAUGAAGUUGGAAUCGCUAGUAAUCGUGGAUCAGCAUGCCACGGUGAAUACGUUCCCGGGCCUU
Molecule: ribosomal RNA, 284 nt
Filed under: uncultured Desulfobulbus sp.
Lineage: Bacteria; Pseudomonadati; Thermodesulfobacteriota; Desulfobulbia; Desulfobulbales; Desulfobulbaceae
Description: partial 16S ribosomal RNA
Rfam family: Bacterial small subunit ribosomal RNA
Source: RNAcentral